Long non-coding RNA from Ornithorhynchus anatinus (platypus), 857 nucleotides. RefSeq lists it as uncharacterized. The transcript is spliced from 3 exons. The record is from RefSeq and is a predicted model, not a curated record. NCBI's taxonomy places the organism in Eukaryota, Metazoa, Chordata, Mammalia, Monotremata, Ornithorhynchidae.
UGACCUGAGCAGCAAAGUGUGCACCAGAGUGGGGGGAGGCAGGAGUCACUGCACUGUCCCUUUACAUGUUGUGUGAAUCUCUCCUUGCAUUAAGGGACACCAUGGCAAAGCAGAUAAACUUAACUGCAAGAAGUGGUGGUGAGAGUGCAGGCCAGUAUUAAGAUUAAAGUGAUUGUGUGUUUCAAGCUAAUUCUUUUUCUUUAGGGGUGGCCCAAAUAAUCCAAUGCAAUAAUAGAGCACAUCUGCAGAAUUAAUGGUGAGCUGGGGUGCUCAUGACCUUGAACAAGGGGCCAACAGGGAGUCGCACCACCGAGUCACCAUGUUAAUCAGCUAGCAUUCAGUUACUGGUAAUCAUGGAUCAUUCAAUAGCAGAACCUGGAAGUCUGUGAAAUUUUAGCUUUAAGGAAAUAAGGACAGCAAAAACCUGAAGAGCUCUAGAAAUAUUCCAGAUUGCUCUAGAUAACUGCUUUAGAACCUGAGGCUGUUCACUCAGAUCAUUCGCAGAACUUAAUUUCUCAACAAACCCAAUCACUUCUUUGCAAAGAUUUUUUAAAAGGUAACUAUUUUGAGACCACCUCAUCUUGCCCAAGUUCUAAUUGCUAUAAGAGUGGCAAAAAUGCCAACAGGCUUAGGUGUAUAAUGUAUCCACUUUGAAGAUUUAAACCAUAAGAAUUAGCUCUUUGCUAGGUAACAACUAACUGACAAUAGUUUGCUUGCAGAGUUCUACUUCAGAUCAAAUGUAUUUUAGGGAAUUUAGUCCAUUAACAAAUGCCCAUAGUAAAGAAAUUUAAAUCAAAGCUGGAUAAAUACAAUGCUGAAAGUAUAAGGAAAAUAAAAAUUAUCUCCUUUGAAUCACA